This 212-nucleotide long non-coding RNA is filed under the name Pan troglodytes (chimpanzee). RNAcentral describes it as "long non-coding RNA NONPTRT004531". The record is from RNAcentral. Lineage: Eukaryota; Metazoa; Chordata; Mammalia; Primates; Hominidae.
GCUUCUGCACAGCAAAAGAAACUACCAUCAGAGUGAACAGGCAACCUACAGAAUGAGAGAAAAUUUUUGCAAUCUACUCAUCUGACAAAGGGCUAAUAUCCAGAAUCUACAAAGAACUCAAACAAAUUUAUAAUAGGGAAAAGCUACUUCUCUUCUUCCUCUGACUAUUGUAAUAUCUGGAUAUGAUAUCCAGAACUGCUGCAGCCAGUAUU